RNAcentral lists this ribosomal RNA (528 nucleotides) under Salmonella enterica subsp. enterica serovar Paratyphi B var. L(+) tartrate +. RNAcentral describes it as "partial 23S ribosomal RNA". It matches the Rfam family "Bacterial large subunit ribosomal RNA", at positions 2414 to 2925 of the family's 2925-position model. Lineage: Bacteria; Pseudomonadati; Pseudomonadota; Gammaproteobacteria; Enterobacterales; Enterobacteriaceae. The record is from RNAcentral.
AGUGAUCCGGUGGUUCUGAAUGGAAGGGCCAUCGCUCAACGGAUAAAAGGUACUCCGGGGAUAACAGGCUGAUACCGCCCAAGAGUUCAUAUCGACGGCGGUGUUUGGCACCUCGAUGUCGGCUCAUCACAUCCUGGGGCUGAAGUAGGUCCCAAGGGUAUGGCUGUUCGCCAUUUAAAGUGGUACGCGAGCUGGGUUUAGAACGUCGUGAGACAGUUCGGUCCCUAUCUGCCGUGGGCGCUGGAGAACUGAGGGGGGCUGCUCCUAGUACGAGAGGACCGGAGUGGACGCAUCACUGGUGUUCGGGUUGUCAUGCCAAUGGCACUGCCCGGUAGCUAAAUGCGGAAGAGAUAAGUGCUGAAAGCAUCUAAGCACGAAACUUGCCCCGGGAUGAGUUCUCCCUGAGACUUAGAGUCUCCUGAAGGAACGUUGAAGACGACGACGUUGAUAGGCCGGGUGUGUAAGCGCAGCGAUGCGUUGAGCUAACCGGUACUAAUGAACCGUGAGGCUUAACCUUACAACGCCGAA